RNAcentral lists this ribosomal RNA (207 nucleotides) under uncultured bacterium. Its description in RNAcentral is "partial 16S ribosomal RNA". It matches the Rfam family "Bacterial small subunit ribosomal RNA", at positions 568 to 774 of the family's 1533-position model. The record is from RNAcentral.
UGCGUAGGCGGGUCUUUAAGUCAGGGGUGAAAUCCUGGAGCUCAACUCCAGAACUGCCUUUGAUACUGGGUAUCUUGAGUAUGGAAGAGGUAAGUGGAAUUCCGAGUGUAGAGGUGAAAUUCGUAGAUAUUCGGAGGAACACCAGUGGCGAAGGCGGCUUACUGGUCCAUUACUGACGCUGAGGUGCGAAAGCGUGGGGAGCAAACA